CCUACGGGUGGCAGCAGUGAGGAAUAUUGGUCAAUGGACGAGAGUCUGAACCAGCCAAGUAGCGUGAAGGAUGACUGCCCUAUGGGUUGUAAACUUCUUUUAUAAAGGAAUAAAACGAGGCACGUGUGCUUUUUUGUAUGUACUUUAUGAAUAAGGAUCGGCUAACUCCGUGCCAGCAGCCGCGGUAAUACGGAGGAUCCGAGCGUUAUCCGGAUUUAUUUGGUUUAAAGGGAGCGUAGAUGGGUUGUUAAGUCAGUUGUGAAAGUUUGCGGCUCAACCGUAAAAUUGCAAUUGAUACUGGCAGUCUUGAGUACAGUUGAGGUAGGCGGAAUUCGUGGUGUAGCGGUGAAAUGCUUAGAUAUCACGAAGAACUCCGAUUGCGAAGGCAGCUUACUAAACUGCCACUGACAUUGAGGCUCGAAAGUGUGGGUAUCAAACAGGAUUAGAUACCCGAGUAGUC
Molecule: ribosomal RNA, 460 nt
Filed under: uncultured bacterium
Lineage: Bacteria
Description: partial 16S ribosomal RNA
Rfam family: Bacterial small subunit ribosomal RNA
Source: RNAcentral